AUCAGAAGUUUGAUUUCGAGUUCCGGCUGAUUGUUAUCCUUCUCCUUAUCUUGCAGGCAGCAUGAAGGAUAAAGAGAAGAAAAGGAGAAAAUGUGAUAUGAGAUACUUUUGCUUUUGAAGAAGUAACUUUCCACAUGCUUAUUCUUGAACUGGGCUGGAGGGUUUUCUGGUUUCCGCUAGAGUAUAAGGCUGACUGAAGAAUUUGAGGGUCAAAACAAGUCCAUCAAAUCUAGAGUACGUUCGACCCUGCUGAUAUGGGAUACUUUUGCUGUUGACAAAGUAGUGGAUGUAUCGGCACGUGUUCUGUUGCGCUUGUCUCCACAUGCUUCCUUGUAUCCUUCUCACUUGCCCUAUUUGUUCCUCAGGCAGAUGUGGUAUCUUCUCAGGAAGCAUAAGAUGUUGAAGAUGAGUACUCGAGAGCAAUGCCAGG
This 430-nucleotide long non-coding RNA is filed under the name Malus domestica (apple). RNAcentral describes it as "long non-coding RNA (MDOM_LNC003978)". Lineage: Eukaryota; Viridiplantae; Streptophyta; Magnoliopsida; Rosales; Rosaceae. The record is from RNAcentral.